This 370-nucleotide RNase P RNA is filed under the name Thermanaerosceptrum fracticalcis. Its description in RNAcentral is "Bacterial RNase P class A". It matches the Rfam family "Bacterial RNase P class A". Rfam says of the family: Ribonuclease P (RNase P) is a ubiquitous endoribonuclease, found in archaea, bacteria and eukarya as well as chloroplasts and mitochondria. Its best characterised activity is the generation of mature 5'-ends of tRNAs by cleaving the 5'-leader elements of precursor-tRNAs. RNAcentral also lists the same sequence under 1 other name. The record is from Rfam by way of RNAcentral. Lineage: Bacteria; Bacillati; Bacillota; Clostridia; Eubacteriales; Peptococcaceae.
UGAGUAUGCCGGAUGAUCGCGGGCACAAAUGCCGAAAGGCUGUGUCUGAGGAAAGUCCGAGCUCCGCAGGGCAGGGUGCUGGGUAAUACCCAGUGGAGGCGACUCCAAGGAAAGUGCCACAGAGACAUACCGCCGAUGGCGACAGGUUCGCACAGGCAAGGGUGGAAAGGUGAGGUAAGAGCUCACCAGCAGCCAGGUGACUGGCUGGCUCGGUAAACCCCACCUGGAGCAAGACCGAAUAGAGGAGCAAUGGAACUGCCCGUUCCGCUCCCGGGUUAGGUCGCUUGAGGUGCCAGGUAACUGGCAUCCCAGAUAGAUGAUCAUCGCUCCGCAAGGAGUACAGAACUCGGCUUACAGGCAAACUCUUGUG